Molecule: ribosomal RNA, 484 nt
Filed under: uncultured bacterium
Lineage: Bacteria
Description: partial 16S ribosomal RNA
Rfam family: Bacterial small subunit ribosomal RNA
Source: RNAcentral
AUUGAACGCUGGCGGCAGGCCUAACACGUGCAAGUCGAGCGGAUGAAGGGAGCUUGCUCCUGGAUUCAGCGGCGGACGGGUGAGUAAUGCCUAGGAAUCUGCCUGGUAGUGGGGGAUAACGUCCGGAAACGGGCGCUAAUACCGCAUACGUCCUGAGGGAGAAAGUGGGGGAUCUUCGGACCUCACGCUAUCAGAUGAGCCUAGGUCGGAUUAGCUAGUUGGUGGGGUAAAGGCCUACCAAGGCGACGAUCCGUAACUGGUCUGAGAGGAUGAUCAGUCACACUGGAACUGAGACACGGUCCAGACUCCUACGGGAGGCAGCAGUGGGGAAUAUUGGACAAUGGGCGAAAGCCUGAUCCAGCCAUGCCGCGUGUGAGAAGAAGGUCUUCGGAUUGUAAAGCACUUUAAGUUGGGAGGAAGGGCAGUAAGUUAAUACCUUGCUGUUUUGACGUUACCAACAGAAUAAGCACCGGCUAACUUCGUG